CUGCGCCCCGCGGAGCUCCGAACACGUGCGCAGAGGCCGGCUGUGGCAGAUGCAACUGCAGGAUGACUUGAAAGUAGGGCAUCCUUCACCCAUCUGAAGGGAGGAAAUAGUGGCAGGUGACAGUCUGCAUGUGCAGUUUUCAGAUGCCUUCACCUGAAUGACAUCUACCUCCAUCAGGACCCCAGAUGUCUGAUAGCCCUGUGUGACACCAAGAUAAGUAAUGUGUGUAGUCUUCUUGUCAUGUAGGUCCCAAUUAAACUACUAUAGCUCACAUGGGGGUAGGGGACUUAAAAUUAUGAUUUGAAAAAUUAUGUAGAGUAUCAGACUUUUUUUUUUUUUUUUUUUUUUGGACGGAGUCUUGCUCAGUUGCCCGGGCUGGAGUGCAGUGGCUCGAUCUCGGCUCACUGCAACCUCUGCCUCCUGGGUUCAACCGAUUCUCCUGCCUCAGCCUCCCGAGUAGCUGGGACUACAGGCACCUGCCACUAUGCCAGGCUAAUUUUUUUAUUUUAAGUAGAGACGAGGUUUCACCAUAUUUGCCAGGCUGGUGUGAAACUCCUGACCUUGUGAUUUGCCUGCCUCGGCCUCCCAAAAUGCUGGGAUUACAGGUUUUUUUGUUUGUUUUUUGAGACGGAGUCUCACUGUCGCCCAGGCUAGAGUGCAAUGGCGCUAUCUCGGCUCACUACAACC
This 687-nucleotide small RNA is filed under the name Pongo abelii (Sumatran orangutan). RNAcentral describes it as "retained intron". The record is from RNAcentral. Lineage: Eukaryota; Metazoa; Chordata; Mammalia; Primates; Hominidae.